AUUACAAGCUAUUUUUAAGUUAUGAUAACUUCCAGCAUUCUUAUAUAAACUGAGGUCUGGCAACAUUUUCCAUUAGAUGUCAUUCAAAAUGUCAAUCCAAAUGUUUGUGUUAUUAUUUGUUGUUCUUAUUGGACUAGCCAGUGCUGCCAGUAUUAUUGGAGAUGUAAAAGAAUCCAGAUGUGGCGAACCUUUAUAUCAUCCUUGUGGAAGUUAUUUUGAUGAAAACGACUUGUACGGUUCAUUAGUAUGCAGAAAUAAGCCUGAUGGAACCUUGUUAUUCAGGCCCCAGAGACCCCAUGAUUACUUUUAUUGUAUUGGAGGAUUUACAUACUUGAAGAAUUGUGGAAAUCGUUUUUUCAAUCCAGAUAUAAAUGCAUGUGAAUAAGAACUUGUGGAAAAGGAAACGUAAAUUUUAAAUAUAAAGAACUUUCCAUCAAUAAUUUCUUUUGAUUUGAACUUAAAAAGAAGAACAGAAUAAAUAUAAACAACUGUCAAAACUUUUA
Eupeodes corollae is the source of this 503-nucleotide long non-coding RNA. RefSeq lists it as uncharacterized. Lineage: Eukaryota; Metazoa; Arthropoda; Insecta; Diptera; Syrphidae. The record is from RefSeq and is a predicted model, not a curated record. The transcript has 2 exons.